UACAGAGGGGGCGGGCGUUGUUCGGAAUUACUGGGCGUAAAGGGCGCGUAGGCGGCCCGCUAAGUCGAACGUGAAAUCCCCAGGCUCAACCUGGGAACUGCGUCCGAUACUGGCAGGCUUGAAUCCGGGAGAGGGAUGUGGAAUUCCAGGUGUAGCGGUGAAAUGCGUAGAUAUCUGGAGGAACACCGGUGGCGAAGGCGGCAUCCUGGACCGGUAUUGACGCUGAGGCGCGAAAGCCAGGGGAGCAAACGGG
Molecule: ribosomal RNA, 253 nt
Filed under: uncultured bacterium
Lineage: Bacteria
Description: partial 16S ribosomal RNA
Rfam family: Bacterial small subunit ribosomal RNA
Source: RNAcentral